GUGUCAGCAGCCGCGGUAAUACGUAGGGUCCAAGCGUUAUCCGGAAUCACUGGGCGUAAAGCGUGCGUAGGUGGUUUGUUAAGUGAAAUGUUAAAUCGUGUGGCUCAACCAUAUCGAUGCAUCUCAUACUGGCAGACUAGAGGACAGCAGAGGCAAGUGGAAUUUGUAGUGUAGCAGUGAAAUGCGUAGAUAUUACAAGGAACACCAAUGGCGAAGGCAGCUUGCUGGGCUACUCCUGACACUGAGGUACGAAAGCGUGGGGAGCGAACAGGAUUAGAUACCCCUGUAGUCC
RNAcentral lists this ribosomal RNA (292 nucleotides) under uncultured bacterium. RNAcentral describes it as "partial 16S ribosomal RNA". It matches the Rfam family "Bacterial small subunit ribosomal RNA", at positions 505 to 796 of the family's 1533-position model. The record is from RNAcentral.